This 654-nucleotide ribosomal RNA is filed under the name Triticum aestivum (bread wheat). RNAcentral's name for it is "partial small subunit ribosomal RNA". The record is from RNAcentral. Lineage: Eukaryota; Viridiplantae; Streptophyta; Magnoliopsida; Poales; Poaceae.
AUGUAUGACCCUGGCGGCAGCUCGUCGUCCCGGCCGCGCGGCAAGGAGGAGCUGCAGCCGGAGGUUGUUCUCUACACGGCGACGGCGUCAGCGUCCCGCCGCAGAGGGCGCACGUCCGCCGACCGCUACGCCUUGUGCGCCCUGCUGCGUGGCUACGGCCUGGCCGUGGAUGUGCGCGACGUGUCGAGGAGCAAAGCACACCGCUGCGAGCUCAAGUCGUUGCUUGCAGCUCGGGGCUGCGCCUUCUCGCUCCCGCAGCUCCUCGUGGGCGGCCGGCUUGUCGGCGGCCCUGACGAUGUUAGGCAGCUGCACCAGGACGGCGGGCUGCGGCCUCUCCUCGACGGCGCCCCAAGGCCAUACGCCGUCUUCGUCUGCCAAGCCUGUAAGAGGGUCGGCUCCGAACCCUGUGAAGACUGCAGCGACUCCCGCAACAAGAUGCUGGAUCAUGUCAUUCUUGAGAAGGAGGAUGAGCAGGAGAGGGUUGUCCUGUUUUAUCCAACACAAGGUGACACUUCCUUUCUCUCCUUUUUUUUAUCCAUCUACUGCUUUUCUUUUCUUGAUGCGCUAAACCCUGCUGCUGUUAAACGGCAUGUACUUGCGCCUCUUCAUGAUGACUUGGUCGAGCUGACUUCUUCUGCUAGUGAGUUUAGCUGA